Molecule: ribosomal RNA, 1680 nt
Filed under: Triticum aestivum (bread wheat)
Lineage: Eukaryota; Viridiplantae; Streptophyta; Magnoliopsida; Poales; Poaceae
Description: partial small subunit ribosomal RNA
Source: RNAcentral
AUGCUCUUUAGUAAGCAAGUAUGUUUUUCUUCUGAAUUGCAAUUAGCAAUUAGCAAGGUACAUUCUAAGCUUCAGAUUGUGAACACUGAAAUGUCCAACUUAAAAGACCGCAUGAAAUUUCCUCUCCAUGUUCCUUUGAUCAAGCCAGCAGCUCCUGCGUUUUUAUGAUCAUCUUUACCAUCUAGAUUGCUGUCCGCAAAUGCUUCAGAGCAAUGGAAAAAAUUGGAGAUUGAGAGGAAAAUCCUUGAGAGCUCCACGAUAUCUAGCUUGCAGCUUAGCUAUUAUAAUCUUGAUCUUCAGCUGAAGCUGUGCUUGUUAUGCUUCUCUAUAUUCCCAGAAAAUUCCAUUAUUAGCAAGAGGGCUAUGAUCCAUUGGUGGAUUGGUGAAGGGUUAGUAGAAGCCACAAGAAGUCAGACAACUGAAGAUAUUGGGAAGGAGUGCUUUGAGAAGUUGAUCACUGCAGAGAUGAUUGAACCUGUAUGUCAUAAACGUAACUGUAGUGUGAACCAAUGCAAGUUGCAUCCUUGGAUUCGGCGUAUGUUGGUCACCGUUGCAAGGCAAGAACGAUUUUUUGAAUUUGAUUCCGAUGGCAAUGCAACAUGGGGCUUUUCAGGUACUCGCCGUGCUUGUCUAGUAGGAGAACAUAUUCAGGCAACAGAAACGGCACCACUCAGAAAUCAGUCCAAUCCAGAUUACCUUCUUGCAAUAUUCAAUGUGAGCGAGCAAUACCUCCAGUUCGACAAGAAUUGGUUCUUGGAUUUGAGGAAGGUCGAAGUUCUCCAACUAGGUCGGUGGCAUAACUUGUACCGAUACCAUAUUGAGGUUGACAGCACUGAAUAUUUGGAAGGGUUGCAGUCAUGCAAACAAUUGAAAUAUCUUUGUCUGCGGGGUAUCUCCCGUAUCGCAGAGCUUCCUGCUUCAAUCGGCGCACUCUCAAAUCUCAGGAUCUUGGAUCUUCAUGCUUGUCAUAACCUUGAGAGGCUUACUGAGAGCAUCACGUCUCUUCAGAUGCUGACCCACCUGGACGUUUCAGAAUGCUACCUUUUGGAGGGCAUGCCAAGGGGCAUUGGUUUGCUUACUGAACUCCAAGUGCUGAAAGGGUUUGUCAUUGGUGGAUCUACAGGCAAGUACAAUUGUCAGGUAGCGGAGCUGAUCAGGCUGGGCAAGCUGAAGAAGCUAAGCAUAUAUAUUGGAAGCAAAGUUCUAGUGACAGAAGACGAACUGCAUGUAGUUGAGAACAUCAAAGCCCUUCGUGUGCUGACAAUUACAUGGGCUGUGUUGCUGUCAAAGAAAGGAGCGGGCCAACAAGAUUCUGCAGCAACAGCGUUGUUAAAUUCGUUAUCCCUUCCUCCCCAUCUCGAAAAGCUAGACUUGCGUUGCUUCCCUGGUGAGAACAUACCGGUUUGGUUGAGUCCGAGUAGGCUGUUGAGACUGCGGAGGCUCUACUUCACAGGAGGAAUGCUGAGCACUUUUGGAGAGAAGAGCAUGUCCGAGCAGUGGAACAUUGAGAUAUUGCGUUUAAAGUUCUUGAAUGACUUGGGAGUAGAAUGGACCCAGGUGAAUGAGAUGUUUCCAAACCUGACCUUCCUGGAGGUAUUCAGAUGUAGCAACAUAGAAUCUUUUCCUUGUGACAAGGAUGGAGUGUGGAUGAACUACGACACCCAGGAAACCAGAGAGUAG